UUGUAUACAUACACCAUCAUGUACCAAUGUACACGAAAAACAUAAACAUAUCUGUUCCUGUAAUUAUGGAAGGUAUAGUCUGCACAAAUAAAAAAUUUGAAAUCAAUUUAAAAGGGUAUAUUUGCAAAUCAAAAACCUUUAGAUCAGAAAUGAAUAUAUUCAAAUUUCUAGGGACCAAAUAUGCAAUAAAGCUAAACUGGCCAUUGUUGCCCAUCAAGCUUUUGCAACAAUGGCGACGAGAAAGAGACGGCGACGAGAAAGAGGCGGCGACGAGAAAGAAGCAACGAGGAGACAUAGACGAGAUGGAGGCAGAGGUUUCAGUCGACGGAGGCGGAGAGAGAGAGCCGGUUACAGGAGGCAACCGGAAUCUUCGGUUUUGAGUUGAAGAAAUCUUUCUACGGAGGUUCUAAAUCCUUUUGCCUCUUCUCCGUAUUGAUUUUUUGGAUCCGUAGAUCUGCACACAAAAAAAGUAAAUUAGUGAUACAUAAAGUAAAGGAGAAAAAAUUAUGAUGGUGAAAAGUAAUGAUUUGAAAAAGAACGUAGAUUACAUAGAAAAAAGGAAGAAGUUGAACAUACUUCUCAAAAUGAAAAGAAAAGCAUGGUGAUGAUCAGAUAGAAUAGGAGAGAGAUAAAGCAAGUUGUUAAUUGUGAGACCAUUUUAGUCACAUGCAUUAAGUUAGUAAUUAUUUGAUUUUAGUUAUAAAAAAGUAUUCCAGUAGCUGAAACUUUUUUUUUUGUAAUAAAAACAUCAAAAAUGUCUUUGAGUUUGAGUGUUAAUAACUCAACUUUUUGAUGCAGACAAAUAUUAUUUUACUAGCGACAAAAAGUUUAACGGGGAAGAAAGUGUGCACGUUAGCAAAAGUCAGAACCUCAAACUUUUACAGCUCCGUCUGACGUGGACCUCUGGCUCCUAUCGACGUCCCUUCCUUUUCUCCAAGAGACUUCUCUCUCUCUCCC
This 957-nucleotide long non-coding RNA is filed under the name Brassica napus (rape). RNAcentral's name for it is "long non-coding RNA (BNAP_LNC011073)". The record is from RNAcentral. Lineage: Eukaryota; Viridiplantae; Streptophyta; Magnoliopsida; Brassicales; Brassicaceae.